RNAcentral lists this ribosomal RNA (468 nucleotides) under uncultured bacterium. RNAcentral's name for it is "partial 16S ribosomal RNA". It matches the Rfam family "Bacterial small subunit ribosomal RNA", at positions 28 to 507 of the family's 1533-position model. The record is from RNAcentral.
GACGAACGCUGGCGGCGUGCUUAACACAUGCAAGUCGAACGGAAAGGCCCUGCUUUUGUGGGGUGCUCGAGUGGCGAACGGGUGAGUAACACGUGAGUAACCUGCCCUUGACUUUGGGAUAACUUCAGGAAACUGGGGCUAAUACCGGAUAGGAGCUCCUGCUGCAUGGUGGGGGUUGGAAAGUUUCGGCGGUUGGGGAUGGGCUCGCGGCUUAUCAGCUUGUUGGUGGGGUAGUGGCUUACCAAGGCUUUGACGGGUAGCCGGCCUGAGAGGGUGACCGGCCACAUUGGGACUGAGAUACGGCCCAGACUCCUACGGGAGGCAGCAGUGGGGAAUAUUGCACAAUGGGCGGGAGCCUGAUGCAGCAACGCCGCGUGCGGGAUGACGGCCUUCGGGUUGUAAACCGCUUUCGCCUGUGACGAAGCGUGAGUGACGGUAAUGGGUAAAGAAGCACCGGCUAACUACGUG